Trichoderma asperelloides is the source of this 107-nucleotide non-coding RNA. Lineage: Eukaryota; Fungi; Ascomycota; Sordariomycetes; Hypocreales; Hypocreaceae. The record is from the annotation of a GenBank genome assembly.
GGCACUUUGGCCGAGUGGUCUAAGGCGCCGUGUUCAGGUGUUGCUGUUCUCAGCUCUCCAGUUUCGCGGUCUAGAAAUAGGCGAGGGUUCGAAUCCCUCAGGUGUCA